CUGCUCGACUGACAUAAAGAUCAUAAAAUAUUUCCAUACACCAAAUAUAGUUGACCUAUGGCAUAUAACAUUAGAUAAAAAGACCAAAACUCAAAAACUUAACUUUGACCACUGAACCAUGAAAAUGAGGUCAAGGUCACAUGACAUCUGCCCGCUAGACAUGUACACUUAACAAUCAUUCCAUACAACAAAUAUAGUAGACCUAUUGCAUAUGGUAUGAGAAAAACAGACCAAAACACAAAAAUUUAACUAUAACCACUGAACCAUGAAAAUGAGGUCAAGAUCAGAUGACACCUGCCAGUUGGACAUGUACACCUUACAGUCCUUCCAUACACCGAAUAUACUAGCCCUAUUGCUUAUAGUAUCUGAGAUAUGGACUUGACCACCAAAACUUAACCUUGUUCACUGAUCCAUGAUAUGAGGUCGAGGUCAAGUGAAAACUGUCUGACAGACACGAGGA
This 460-nucleotide long non-coding RNA is filed under the name Mytilus galloprovincialis (Mediterranean mussel). The record is from RNAcentral. Lineage: Eukaryota; Metazoa; Mollusca; Bivalvia; Mytilida; Mytilidae.